Molecule: long non-coding RNA, 742 nt
Organism: Clupea harengus (Atlantic herring)
Lineage: Eukaryota; Metazoa; Chordata; Actinopteri; Clupeiformes; Clupeidae
Exons: 3
Source: RefSeq, a predicted model, not a curated record
AUUUCAGAAACGUGUUACCAUGUGGUGAGAAAUACAGUGAGGAACGUAGUAUUACUACGAGCAUAUAAUAAUUGCAUUGAUCGUGUUGGAUGUUUGUGGAACAGAUGAAGUGCUUUCGAUCAACAAACGUCUUGGAGAGAACGUUACUCUGCACUGUAACGGAUCUGAGAGUCUGAUUAAAAUCAGAUGGGAGAAGGAUGGAAUCCAGGUGCUUUUACAUACCCCGCGCUUGGAAACACACCAUACCAAGACAAACUUCACUUCUGAAAGGAUGAGUGUUGAUCCUGCUAAUCCAGCGAUACUGCAGAUAUCUGAUGUGCAGGUGUCUGAUGAGGGAAUAUACAUAUGUGAAGUAACAGAUAAGAAAAACGUGAAGACAGAAAAAUGGAGCCUGACCACUUCUCCAGAUCAUUGGCUUUCACCAAACCGAUCCAAACUUUUCUGCAUCAGUACUGCAGCCAUAUUCUCGACAAUGAUCAUCGUGUUGUGUAUUUAUCACAAAAUCUCAAACCUGAACCAUGCUGCAGGAAAUGAAGGUGAAGAUGAAGAAAUGGCAGCUGUUUCUUUUCACAAUCAAGCAUCAAGGCAUGUUUAGUUGUAAUGUGGACCUCACAGGACCUCACAGGACCUUCAUUUCAAAGAAUGAUUACCGCCUAUUGGCUCUGGUAUCGUUGUUGUCAUUGCCUCAAUGAUUCGCAUGAAUAAAACGGCAUUAUGAAUGCAGUGCCGUCUGUUGAUAAAA